Molecule: long non-coding RNA, 863 nt
Filed under: Citrus x clementina
Lineage: Eukaryota; Viridiplantae; Streptophyta; Magnoliopsida; Sapindales; Rutaceae
Description: Citrus clementina (C. clementina) long non-coding RNA (CCLE_LNC000764)
Source: RNAcentral
UCUUAAUGUAAAAAAAAUGCAUAUUCUUCAACAGCUCAUUGAUAUAUGCAAACGGUUAAAAAGUGAGAUUAAUUGACAACGCAGCAUAUGAGUAAUUCAGAAAAGGCAAAAGUGGAGUUGGAGGGUGGGCAUAAAUGAAUUGGGUCCCAAGUGCCCCAAAUCAAGGGGUACAAAAACAAACGACGAAUUCCCAUUUGUUGUCGUGACCAAAAGAGUGGGAAACAAAGUUGAUUUGUCAUUGAGGGGCAUGUGAACCUGCACAUAAUACAUUUAAAAAAUAAUAAAGAGCAAAGCCAUGUGGAUCCAUGCUUUAACGUUAUUCCCAUGCAUCAACAUGUGAAUAUUGGCUCCAACAUUUGUAAGCCACAAUAAUAUUAUGAGGAAGAAAUAAAUAAUAAUAAAAUGAUACUAACCCUACCACCUUCUUCUUCUUCUUCUUCUUCUUCUUCUUCGUGUUCUUGUUGCAGAUUUUACAGGGCAAUGCACGAUGAUUUUCUUUUCCUUUCCAUUGUGGGGACCUAUUUGCAUGCACGCGAGCAUUGCGAUAUUGGGCUGAAAAUGCUUGUCUAAAUCGAGUGGUCAAACGAUGUUACGUUCCACCGUCCAUGCUUCUAACGUAAUCUCCAAUACUAUUUCAUGUCUCCAUCUUUCUUCAGUCAAAAAGAGGAUAUUGACUCAUAAUUCAUCAACAGUUGCUUCCACUCCAAUUUUCACUCCCCAUCUAAGAAAUUUUUACGGUGAUUUUUAGUGUACAUUCUCUCUCUCUCUCUUUUUGGAUUUUUAUCAUGUGUAUUUGUUUGCGGAUAAAAUGUGGUGUGUUUUGAGUUCUUCUGUAUGUACUAUAAAAAUUAUUUUUUCUUUCA